Molecule: long non-coding RNA, 1803 nt
Organism: Equus asinus (donkey)
Lineage: Eukaryota; Metazoa; Chordata; Mammalia; Perissodactyla; Equidae
Source: Ensembl
CAAAUUGUUGAUGCCCUCACACACAACCAACCUUCCUUUCUCCUUAGAGAGCUGCGUGCCAUAAUGUACCUACUCCCAAAGAGGACUGGAAGCAGGCUGAUUUAAAAUUUCAGAGUUGUAGAAAGUGCACUAAACUAACAGUCAGGAAGUCUGAGUUCUCUCUUAGAAACAGCUCUUAAUCUUUCUGUCUUCAUCUGUGAGAGGAAGGGCUUGAACUGCGUGGUCCCUGAGUUCUAUGGCUUUUCCCUUUAAAAUAGAGCCAGACGAAUGAUCUGAAUUUUAAAUUCCAUCAUGUCACUCACCUGCUCAAAAUUCAGUGACUCUCCUGAGCGUUAGAGAAAGUCCUGAGUCUGGUAGAUUCAAGACCUGACGAAGUUUGCUUUCAACCUACCUUCCCAGCCUUAUCUGCUUUCCCCACCCCCACUCCUCCCACCAGAUACUCCUCUCCUCCUGCCAAACUGGUUCCCACACCCGCCUGGAUCUUCUUGCCUCCUUCCUUUUGAUCAGGCCCUUUCAGUUACCUGGAAAGGCUUACAACUCAGCCUCUCAGAUCAUGACCCACUGAAAACUCACUUCCUUCAUAAAGCUUUCCUAAAACACCCAGCUUGAGGUAUCUCUCCAGGUACUCUUAACACAAGAAAUUAUAGUUUGUACGAUUCAUUUAUGAAGCAUUUUCUUGGGUCAUCUUUCUAUUAUUUAUUUUGAAGUGCUACUUAAAUCUUUAAUUGAGGUUGUCUUUUUCUUCUCAACAAGAUUAGACUUUGGGGGCGAGCCUCCCUAAUAUGUGGCAGUUAAAUGAUUAAUUUGAUUAUGUAAUGAUGAUGUAAGUGAUGGCAUAAAACCAUAAGAAAUUCAGAACUCCUUUAAAUGCCUGGUGUGGGUUUGCUCACAUUCCUUGUUCCUUCCUCUGUCUUUCUGCUUUCUUCCUCAUGGAACUCAUUCACUCAGUCUUAAAGGUCAUGUCUUUCUCAGUACACGUCUUCAGCCUAGCUGCUCUCCGUGAGCUCCAGUGUCAUUUCCCCAAAUACUAAUUGGAUGCUACCCAUUACCUUAAACUCAACAUGUUAAAAGGAAGGGGAAAAAACUAGGUCAGCAUUUUUUCUUUCCAACUCAUACACCCUUACUGAGUUUGUAACUCCUUUAAUGGAACAACUGUCUUUCUAGACUCCUAGGUUCACCCACGAUGCUCUUCACUCCCUUUUCUCUUGGCUAAUAUUCACCGUCUUAUGGUUCUUCCUCUUUUUUUUCUGGUUCUUCCUUCAUGAUGUCUGCUGUAUCCCCUUCCUUACCUUCUGAUAACCCUAGUCUCCACCCUGACCCAGGUUCUUUUCAUCUCACUGUUUUAGAAGCUCCAUUCCUGGGUUUUUUUCCUUUAGUUUCUCCUGCACCUAUUCUGUUUUGUCCAGUAUAGUCAGAUUUAUCUUCUUAAAACAGCACAUCAGUUUUAAGAAGUUGAAGGCCAGCAACACUGCCCUGGGACACAGGGCACGUGGGCAGUAAGUGAACAAAAGCCUUCCAGCUCCUGUCCCAGCUCUCCUUCCCAGCUGCCAUGGAACGUGUGCUCCGGCAUUCUGUUACCUUCACCUACCAUGGGAAGCUCCUCAGUUUAAAAUAUUGUACAAAACAAGUUUCAGAAGUGAUGUAUGGCGGGAUUCAAAAGGAUGGACAGGCCACUGGUUGGAGAAGAAGGUGACAGAGACAAUAGGAGAUAAUUUAUUGAGAGAGAAAGUUUAAAUUAAAAAAAAAAAAGCGUGUUGGGAUAAAUUGCCAAAGUUGCUAUAAAGAUUCACUGUGAAUAGAGAA